Molecule: long non-coding RNA, 608 nt
Organism: Brassica napus (rape)
Lineage: Eukaryota; Viridiplantae; Streptophyta; Magnoliopsida; Brassicales; Brassicaceae
Exons: 2
Source: RefSeq, a predicted model, not a curated record
AAAUUCAACUAAAAUCACCUCUUGGAGAAGAGGAAAAAGAACCAGGUUUAAAGAUAAUGGUGAAACCCAUCUCUUAAGAACCAAGGUAAGAGGUGGAAUUAAUGCUGUUCUAAGGCCGGGCGUCAUCUUUUUCUCCACAUUGUAUCCCAUCAAGACUUGUAGUGGAUGUACUAGUGUGUCAAACGUUUAUCUUUAUUUAAUGUGCUUGUAAUUGAUUCCGAUUUGAACCACUCAUCUCUUUCAUCCGUGUUCUUUGCUUGUAACUCUAAUUAGGUCUAUUUUGGCGGCUCUAUCUCUUCCACUGUCACUUUUUCUGUACUGAUUCCAAUCAUCAGCUGUUUGUUUAUAUGCCACGCAAAGAACGCACCGUUACACCAUAUUAUUGGGUAGUGAAGCACAGAAAUAGAAGGUAUUUACCAGAACUUAUAUUGAGUUAUAACAAGAAUAGAAGCUCAGAUUUUGGGUAAUAAGCUUCCCUGUUAUUUUUGUUUUGUUCAGUGUCGAUCAUGGGAUUCUGUAUAAUUGUAUUCUAAAGUUUAGUUUAAAAAAAUGUGUUGCUAAGUAUAUGGGAACCGCACAAUGUUGUAAGUUUUCUUUCUUCUUACUGA